Peromyscus leucopus (white-footed mouse) is the source of this 594-nucleotide long non-coding RNA. RefSeq lists it as uncharacterized. The record is from RefSeq and is a predicted model, not a curated record. Lineage: Eukaryota; Metazoa; Chordata; Mammalia; Rodentia; Cricetidae. The transcript is spliced from 2 exons.
UCUAGAAAACUGUCUUCACUCGAUGAUGUGGAGAAUGGUUGUCUUUCCUUCCUGGGAGUCGUUCAGCCGAUCUCAUCCCAGGACCACCCAUCUGGAGGGAGGGCUUCGGAUCUCCUGUUUCAUCACACAGUCUUCCAAAGUCAUUGGACAUCUAAUUGUUAAGUCACCUGAUAUUAAGCCUGCUUCAUUAAUUGAUCUGUUCAAAUAGACUUAAAUGAACCCUAGCAUGACCUCUAUACAUCCCAAAGUUCAUUCAGCCGUUUGUUUGUUUUACACCUGUCAGUGGGAGCUCCUAUGGGAAGGAUGGCUGAGUUCAUCAACUGGUCAGAGCCAAUCUGUGACAAAGCGGAUCUCCGGACAGAGGUAGACGCAUCUGUUAAAGGACAUGUGAAAACAUGGAUGGGCAUCUGUGACCAUUUGUGUGCCUGUCACUUGAGGCUUUCCGUGGGACUGCUCAUGGCACACGUGCUGCUGGAUACAGAGACAAAGAAUACAUCAUUGCUUGUGUCUGGCCAAAAGGGGCUUCAGUGUUGGCUGCCCUCAAUGUGUGGCUGCUAAAUAAUGUCAAAUAAAAGAAUAACAUGUAUGAAGUUU